GUGGGGAAUAUUGGACAAUUGGGGGAACCCUGAUCCAGCCAUGCCGCGUGUGUGAAGAAGGCCUUUUGGUUGUAAAGCACUUUAAGCGAGGAGGAGGCUACCGAGAUUAAUACUCUUGGAUAGUGGACGUUACUCGCAGAAUAAGCACCGGCUAACUCUGUGCCAGCAGCCGCGGUAAUACAGAGGGUGCAAGCGUUAAUCGGAUUUACUGGGCGUAAAGCGCGCGUAGGUGGCCAAUUAAGUCAAAUGUGAAAUCCCCGAGCUUAACUUGGGAAUUGCAUUCGAUACUGGUUGGCUAGAGUAUGGGAGAGGAUGGUAGAAUUCCAGGUGUAGCGGUGAAAUGCGUAGAGAUCUGGAGGAAUACCGAUGGCGAAGGCAGCCAUCUGGCCUAAUACUGACACUGAGGUGCGAAAGCAUGGGGAGCAAACAGGAUUAGAUACCCCGGUAGUCC
This 451-nucleotide ribosomal RNA is filed under the name uncultured bacterium. Its description in RNAcentral is "partial 16S ribosomal RNA". It matches the Rfam family "Bacterial small subunit ribosomal RNA", at positions 354 to 796 of the family's 1533-position model. The record is from RNAcentral.